UACGGGGGGGGGCAAGCGUUGUUCGGAAUUACUGGGCGUAAAGGGCGCGUAGGCGGCCUUCUAAGUCGGACGUGAAAUCCCUCGGCUCAACCGAGGAACUGCGUCUGAUACUGGAAGGCUUGAAUCCGGGAGAGGGAUGUGGAAUUCCAGGUGUAGCGGUGAAAAUGCGUAGAUAUCUGGAGGAACACCGGUGGCGAAGGCGGCAUCCUGGACCGGUAUUGACGCUGAGGAGCGAAAAGCCAGGGGGGGAGCAAAACGGGGAUUAGAAA
This 269-nucleotide ribosomal RNA is filed under the name uncultured bacterium. RNAcentral describes it as "partial 16S ribosomal RNA". It matches the Rfam family "Bacterial small subunit ribosomal RNA", at positions 524 to 784 of the family's 1533-position model. The record is from RNAcentral.